Molecule: long non-coding RNA, 242 nt
Filed under: Musa acuminata (dwarf banana)
Lineage: Eukaryota; Viridiplantae; Streptophyta; Magnoliopsida; Zingiberales; Musaceae
Description: long non-coding RNA (MACU_LNC010162)
Source: RNAcentral
UAAGAUGGGGCCUUUUAUAAAGGUGGUUGGAUUUAGGUGAGGACUUCUCACAAAUCCAAUUCCACUUCUUUUUGGAACGUGACCCUUGUUUGCAAGGAUCAUGUUCAAUGACUUGCUACCAACCUCGAAUUUCUUCAAGGUGUCAUUAAGUAGCAGGUUUUCUUUUUGGAGAGUUUCUAGAUCAUGACAUUUGAUACAUGAAUUUAAACUAUCAUGAUAUUCAAUUUUUAACUUAUCAAAAU